This 3424-nucleotide ribosomal RNA is filed under the name Breviata anathema. Its description in RNAcentral is "eukaryotic LSU rRNA". It matches the Rfam family "Eukaryotic large subunit ribosomal RNA". Lineage: Eukaryota; Breviatea. The record is from RNAcentral.
UUGAUCUCAAAUCAGGUAAGACUACCCGCUGAAUUGAAGCAUCUAAUUAAGCGGAGGAAAAGAAACUAACAAGGAUUCCCCUAGUAACGGCGAGUGAAGAGGGAAGAGCUCAAACUUAAAAUCUGGGAGGAUUCCUCUCCGAAUUGUAGUCUAUAGAAGCGCAACCGGGUUCCGACCUUUGUCCAAGUACCCUGGAAGGGGGCAUCAGAGAGGGUGACAAUCCCGUAUCUGGCGAAGGAUUGGAGUCCAUACGGUGCGUAUUCGACGAGUCGAGUUGUUUGGGAAUGCAGCUCUAAAUGGGUGGUAAAUUCCAUCUAAAGCUAAAUAUUGGCGAGAGACCGAUAGCGAACAAGUACCGUGAGGGAAAGAUGAAAAGAACUUUGAAAAGAGAGUUAAAAGUGCCUGAAAUUGCUAGCAUGGAAGCGAUUGAAACUGGUUAGCUGCAUGCUGGAUUGCGCGGUGACUUCCGUUCUGCGGAUUUGCUGUGUAGCUCCGGUGUGUAGAAGUCAACUCCGGUUACUGUUUGGGUGACCUGCGGCGGGGAAGGUAGGCCGGUGCUCUCGGGUACUGGUUGUUAUAGCUCCGUUGUAGUGCCUGAGUGGGGACCAGGACGUGGGGUUUGUAUCGGUUGCUGUGGCUGCUUGUGGCUCACUGAGCUGCAGGUACCUGCGGCAGCGGAUGCGAGUCUCCUGUUGACGUAACGGUUUUAACCGUCCCGUCUUGAAACACGGACCAAGGAGUCUAACAUAUAUGCGAGUAUUGUGGUGGCAAACCACGGUGCGCAAUGAAAGUGAAGGUCUGCUCGGCAGGCUGAGGUGUGAGCCUUGGCAACAAGGUGCAACAUCGACCGAUCUGGAGGUUUACCGAAAGAUUUGAGUAAGAGCAUAUACGUUGGGACCCGAAAGAUGGUGAACUAUGCCUGGGUAGGAUGAAGCCAGAGGAAACUCUGGUGGAGGUCCGAAGCGGUUUUGACGUGCAAAUCAAUCGUCGAAUCUGGGUAUAGGGGCGAAAGACUAAUCGAACCAUCUAGUAGCUGGUUCCCUCCGAAGUUUCCCUCAGGAUCGCUGGAACUUGUACAGUUUUAUCAGGUAAAGCGAAUGAUUAGAGGUCUUGGGUGUGAAACACACUCAACCUAUUCUCAAACUUUAAAUAGGUAAAUACCCUAUGUUGCUUAAUUGAACAUGGGGGUCAAUGUAAGUUCCAAGUGGGCCGUUUUUGGUAAGCAGAACUGGCGAUGCGGGAUGAACCGAACGGGAUGUUAAGGUGCCCAACUGUACACUCAUCAGACCCCACAAAAGGUGUUGAUUCAUUUUGACAGCAGGACGGUGGCCAUGGAAGUCGGAACCCGCUAAGGAGUGUGUAACAACUCACCUGCCGAAUGGAUUAGCCCUGAAAAUGGAUGGCGCUCAAGUGUACGACCUAUACAUUCCCUUCAGGGCAAGCUCGAAGCCCUGGAGAGUAGGAGGGCGUGGAGGUUGUGACGAAGCCUAGGGCGUGAGUCCUGGUAGAACAGCCUCUAGUGCAGAUCUUGGUGACAGUAGCAAAUAUUCAAAUGAGAACUUUGAAGCCUGAAGUGGAGAAAGGUUCCAUGUGAACAGCAUUUGGACAUGGGUGAGUCGGUCCUAAGAGAUAGGGAAACUCCGUUUUAAAGAGCGCGAUUCGUCGCGCCGCCUAUCGAAAGGGAAUCAGGUUAACAUUCCUGAACCAGGCAGUGGAUAUUUAAGCGGUAACGCAACUGAAAUCGGAGACGUCGGCGAGGGUCCUGAGAAGAGUUCUCUUUUCUUCUUAACAGUCAGAAACCCUGGAAUCAGAUUAUCUGGCGAUAGGGUCAGUUGGCUGGUAAAGCACUUUGCUUUUUGAAGUGUUCGGUGCGCUCUCGACGACCCAUGAAAAUCCGAUGGAAUGAAUAAUUCUCACGUCUGGCCGUACUCAUAACCGCAUCAGGUCUCCAAGGUGAGCAGCCUCUAGGCGAUAGAAUAAUGUAGAUAAGGGAAGUCGGCAAAACAGAUCCGUAACUUUGGGAAAAGGAUUGGCUCUAAGGGCUGGGCCAGGGAGCCUGCGACUUGACGGUGGAAGCGAAGGCCUGGGCUGCGGUUGCCGCAAGGUGGCUGCGGACUGGGCAGUUGCAUCCAUUUGAUGGGCGUAGGAGACAUGUUCCGCAAGGGGUGUGUCGAUUCCUUGGCGAUUAACAGCUAACUUAGAACUGGUACGGACAAGGGGAAUCUGACUGUUUAACUAAAACCAAGCUUUGCGAAGGUCCCAACCGUGAUGUUGACGCAAGGUGAUUUCUGCCCAGUGCUCUGAAUGUCAAAGUGAAGAAAUUCAACCAAGCGCGGGUAAACGGCGGGAGUAACUAUGACUCUCUUAAGGUAGCCAAAUGCCUCGUCAUCUAAUUAGUGACGCGCAUGAAUGGAUCAACGAGAUUCCCACUGUCCCUAUCUACUAUCUAGCGAACUCGCAGCAAGGGGAACGGACCUUGCAGAAUCAGCGGGGAAAGAAGACCCUGUUGAGCUUGACUCUAGUCUGACUUUGUGAAAUGACUUGAGAGGUGUAGAAUAAGUGGGAGCGCAAGCGAAAGUGAAAUACCACUACUUUCAAUGUUAUUUUACUAAUCUGAUUGUGCGGGACGGGGCCUCACGGCUCUAUUUCUCUGGUUAAGCACCUUCGCGGUGUGACCCGUAUCAGAGACAUAGUCAGGUGGGGAGUUUGGCUGGGGCGGCACAUCUGCUAAAAAGUAACGCAGGUGUCCUAAGAUGAGCUCAGUGAGAACAGAAAUCUCACGUGGAACAAAAGGGUAAAAGCUCAUUUGAUUUUGAUUUUCAGUACGAAUACAAACUGUGAAAGCAUGGCCUAUCGAUCCUUUAGUCUUUAGGAAUUUUAAGCUAGAGGUGUCAGAAAAGUUACCACAGGGAUAACUGGCUUGUGGCAGCCAAGCGUUCAUAGCGACGUUGCCGUUUGAUCCUUCGAUGUCGGCUCUUCCUAUCAUUGACCUGUAUCCGAGUCCAAGCGUAGGAUUGUUCACCCACUAACAGGGAACGUGAGCUGGGUUCAGACCGUCGUGAGACAGGUUAGUUUUACCCUACUGAUGAAAUGUUGUUGCAAUAGUAAUUCAACAUAGUACGAGAGGAACCGUUGAUUCGCACACUUGGUCUUGACACCUGGCUGAAAAGCCAAUGGUGUGAAGCUACCGUGCGUAGGAUUAUGUCUGAACGCCUCUAAGACAGAAUCCGUGCUAGAACGUAACGACUCUGCCUUCCGACACGACAUGCAUACAUAUAGGUGGGCCUGUGCCCAUCGAGCAUCAUAUUAGGUAACUGGGCAGGGGAAGACCUCCCGCUUACCGGACCAAUUCCACUGCGUCGGAGGGAUAAAUCCUUUGUAGACGACUUAAUUUGGAACDRGGURYUGUAAGYRKYMGAGUAGC